UGGGGGAUAUUGCACAAUGGGCGAAAGCCUGAUGCAGCGACGCCGCGUGGGGGAUGAAGGCCUUCGGGUUGUAAACUUCUUUUGCUCUGAACAAGGCAUGCCUUUGGGGUGUGUUGAGUGUAGGGGUUGAUUAGCGCCGGCUAACUACGUGCCAGCAGCCGCGGUAAUACGUAGGGCGCGAGCGUUGUCCGGAAUUAUUGGGCGUAAAGGGCUUGUAGGUGGCUGGUUGCGUCUGUCGUGAAAGCUCAUGGCUUAACUGUGGGUUUGCGGUGGGUACGGGCUGGCUUGAGUGCAGUAGGGGAGGAUGGAAUUCCUGGUGUAGCGGUGGAAUGCGCAGAUAUCAGGAGGAAUACCGGUGGCGAAGGCGGGUCUCUGGGCUGUUACUGACGCUGAGGAGCGAAAGCGUGGGGAGCGAACAGG
This 420-nucleotide ribosomal RNA is filed under the name Fusobacteriota bacterium. Its description in RNAcentral is "Fusobacteria bacterium partial 16S ribosomal RNA". It matches the Rfam family "Bacterial small subunit ribosomal RNA", at positions 355 to 776 of the family's 1533-position model. The record is from RNAcentral. Lineage: Bacteria; Fusobacteriati; Fusobacteriota.